UGGAAACAGUGGCUAAGACUGGAUAGGAAGAUAAAAGGCAUCUUUUUAUCUUUUAAAAGACCUAGUAAUAGGUAUGCUUUAGGAGGGGCUUGCGCCAUAUUAGUUAGUUGGUAGGGUAAUGGCCUACCAAGACGAUGAUGUGUAGCUGGACUGAGAGGUUGAACAGCCACAUUGGGACUGAGACACGGCCCAAACUCCUACGGGAGGCAGCAGUAGGGAAUUUUCGGCAAUGGAGGAAACUCUGACCGAGCAACGCCGCGUGAAUGACGAAGUACUUCGGUAUGUAAAGUUCUUUUAUCAAGGAAGAAAAGCAAAUGGCGAACCAUUUGUUUGCCGGUACUUGAUGAAUAAGCCCCGGCUAAUUAUGUGCCAGCAGCCGCGGUAAGACAUAAGGGGCAAGUGUUAUCCGGAAUUAUUGGGCGUAAAGGGUGCGUAGGCGGUCUAGUAAGUCAGUGGUGUAAUGGCAACGCUUAACGUUGUCCGGCUAUUGAAACUGCUAAACUUGAGUUAGAUAGAGGCGAGUGGAAUUCCAUGUGUAGCGGUAAAAUGCGUAAAUAUAUGGAGGAACACCAGAGGCGUAGGCGGCUCGCUGGGUCUUAACUGACGCUGAGGCACGAAAGCGUGGGGAGCAAACAGGAUUAGAUACCCUGGUAGUCCACGCCGUAAACGAUGAGUACUAAGUGUCGGGUUAAACCGGUACUGAAGUUAACACAUUAAGUACUCCGCCUGAGUAGUACGUACGCAAGUAUGAAACUUAAAGGAAUUGACGGGACUCCGCACAAGCGGUGGAUCAUGUUGUUUAAUUCGAAGAUACCCGAAAAACCUUACCAGGUCUUGACAUGUUUUUGCAAAAUGAUAGUAAUAUCGUGGAGGUUACCAGAAACACAGGUGGUGCAUGGUUGUCGUCAGCUCGUGUCGUGAGAUGUUAGGUUAAGUCCUAAAACGAGCGAAACCCUUAUCGUUAGUUGCCAGCACGUUAUGGUGGGGACUUUAACGAGACUGCCAAUGAUAAAUUGGAGGAAGGUGAGGAUCACGUCAAAUCAGCAUGCCCCUUAUGACCUGGGCUACAAACGUGAUACAAUGGCUGUUACAAAGGGUAGCUGAAACGCAAGUUCUUGGCCAAUCCCCAAAAACAGUCCCAGUCCGGAUUGAAGUCUGCAACUCGACUUCAUGAAGUUGGAAUCGCUAGUAAUCGCGAAUCAGCAUGUCGCGGUGAAUACGUUCUCGGGGUUUGUACACACCGCCCGUCAAACCACGAAAGUUGGCAAUA
Molecule: ribosomal RNA, 1270 nt
Filed under: Soybean phyllody phytoplasma
Lineage: Bacteria; Bacillati; Mycoplasmatota; Mollicutes; Acholeplasmatales; Acholeplasmataceae
Description: bacterial SSU rRNA
Rfam family: Bacterial small subunit ribosomal RNA
Source: RNAcentral